This 579-nucleotide long non-coding RNA is filed under the name Olea europaea subsp. europaea. The record is from RNAcentral. Lineage: Eukaryota; Viridiplantae; Streptophyta; Magnoliopsida; Lamiales; Oleaceae.
CAACUCACAAAACAUAAAUCAUAACUCAUGAUUGAUAAGACCAAUAAGUAAUAACAAUUAACACAUUUUACAGGCAUGGGAUAACAACAUUCAUUAUUAUUUAUUCAACAAAUCAAUGAGAAAUAGCCAACAAAAUAUAACAUAACAAUACCCAAAAAAUAAAAAACAGCAAUAAAAUAGAACAUAAAGCACUCACUAGUCAGCGGGCGAAGCUGAAUUUUGAUCGCCCAAUCGGCAAUCGGGCUGUCUACUAACCAGAACAGGAAGUCAUCAAGUUGGAAAUCUCGAAACAUUGGAAUGACAGUUGAACUCGGCAGAAGAAGAACAACUGAUGACUGAACCAGGCUUUAAAGUUUAAGCUUUUGGACUUGGCUAAUGGGCAAUGGCUGGCGGGUGACCGUGCUGCUGAACGGAAUUUGGAAGGGAGGAAAAGGGUUUGCAAGCUUUUGGAUUUGCGAAUGAGAAAUUGAGAGUCGAUUACUUGAUUUGGCGGAGUUUGCUGUUUGGAAUUGGACCAUACUGCUAGUGUCGGACUCGGACUGGGGGUAACAAUUCAUUGAAAAAUUUUAAACAAAUUUG